RNAcentral lists this ribosomal RNA (474 nucleotides) under Pseudomonas sp. E174. RNAcentral's name for it is "bacterial SSU rRNA". It matches the Rfam family "Bacterial small subunit ribosomal RNA", at positions 30 to 499 of the family's 1533-position model. The record is from RNAcentral. Lineage: Bacteria; Pseudomonadati; Pseudomonadota; Gammaproteobacteria; Pseudomonadales; Pseudomonadaceae.
UGAACGCUGGCGGCAGGCCUAACACAUGCAAGUCGAGCGGAUGAGAGGAGCUUGCUCCUCGAUUCAGCGGCGGACGGGUGAGUAAUGCCUAGGAAUCUGCCUGGUAGUGGGGGACAACGUUUCGAAAGGAACGCUAAUACCGCAUACGUCCUACGGGAGAAAGCAGGGGACCUUCGGGCCUUGCGCUAUCAGAUGAGCCUAGGUCGGAUUAGCUAGUUGGUGAGGUAAUGGCUCACCAAGGCGACGAUCCGUAACUGGUCUGAGAGGAUGAUCAGUCACACUGGAACUGAGACACGGUCCAGACUCCUACGGGAGGCAGCAGUGGGGAAUAUUGGACAAUGGGCGAAAGCCUGAUCCAGCCAUGCCGCGUGUGUGAAGAAGGUCUUCGGAUUGUAAAGCACUUUAAGUUGGGAGGAAGGGCAGUAAAUUAAUACUUUGCUGUUUUGACGUUACCGACAGAAUAAGCACCGGCUA